This 1265-nucleotide long non-coding RNA is filed under the name Phoenix dactylifera (date palm). RNAcentral's name for it is "long non-coding RNA (PDAC_LNC012864)". Lineage: Eukaryota; Viridiplantae; Streptophyta; Magnoliopsida; Arecales; Arecaceae. The record is from RNAcentral.
AAAAGGCUGCAAAGGGGUUUGGCCUUCUUCUUUUUCAUCCAUGCUUCUUCUUCCUCCUCCCUAGGGGAAUCAAGAGUUGAUUCAAAGGGAGGAUUUCAGCCAUCAAAAGUUAUCUCUGCAAGGGAGCUAGCACCCCGAGGAGAUUCAAAGGCUUCAAUUGGUUCUCUGCCUCGUGUAGAUGCCCGUAGAGGCCGGACGCGUGUGCGGCUUCAAGCGAACCUUUCAACAAAUAUCACGAUCAUCAGAUUGCGGUGAAUAUCUACCCGCACAAGGUGAAGAUAUGAUCUUCCUAAUCUUAUGAAAAAGUUUUAAUCCUAAUCUAUCUACGAACAUCGGUUUUAAAAUACGUUCAUGCGAUGAGCGACGCGGAUCUCGCACAUGCCCCUUCCGCUGCGUUCAUUCUGAUUUUUCUUCAGAGGUGUGCGAGGGAUCCCAACAGUGGUAUCAGAGCUAUGGUUGUGUAGAUUAAGAUUAGGAUUAAUGGUCAAAGGCAUAAUAGAUCGGAAAAUUUAAAGGUUAUGCUUGCUGAUUUUUCUGCAUGCUGAUUUUUAUGCGUUUGGAUUAAUGAUUCUAUUACUUUGUUAAUGUGAUUACAAGUAUUUAGAAUCAUGUCUUGCAUGAUCAGCAACUCAUAUGAUGACAUAAUCUAUUAAAUAUUCAGAUCUGUAAUUAUAGUCAAUGCAUUAGAUGCAUGUAGUGAUGAUCAUGGAUGGACCCUUUUACAUGUGCUGAAAUGUUCUGCGAUGUUCUGUGAUGUGAUGUGAUGAUAUGUAAAAUCAGAAAUUCAGAUGCUUGCGUGCAUCUUAAAUCAAUUAUUGGAGACCUGCGUGUCUCAUGAAAAAGGGAUGUAACUAUUAUUUAUUUUUCAUAGUUAUCUGGAUUGUAAUCUGUGAUGUGUUUGCACGUCAAUGGUUGAUCGGUGCAUACCUCCACAAGCACGAUUUACGCGGAUCGAGAUCAAGGGUUGAUUGGAGAUGGAUCAAGAAGUUGAUUGCACUUGGACCUAAGGUGCUCAAGAUCGAAUCAAGAGUUGAAUACGAUCUAACCAAUUGACGUGCAUGUGCUUGUACUAUGACCCUCAUCCUGGAUCCAUGAUCAUCACCAGUUAUUCUAUGAUUAUACCUUAUUUUUUAUGUUUAUGUUUAUGCAUAGCGGGUAGAUAAUUGUUUGCAUGAGAUGUAAAUAAUUAAAAUGAUUAAAGAGACCUAAAUUAAAUCUCCUUGACUAAAUAUUAAGUCUAGCGGUCUUCCACCGUAGUAGAGCUG